Molecule: long non-coding RNA, 929 nt
Filed under: Triticum aestivum (bread wheat)
Lineage: Eukaryota; Viridiplantae; Streptophyta; Magnoliopsida; Poales; Poaceae
Description: long non-coding RNA (TAES_LNC017574)
Source: RNAcentral
UCGGACCAAAUUCGUACGUAUUCUGCACGAGAGGUACGUAGUCCUUCUUGCCUGAUCAGGAUAUGCUGUCUCGUUCGACGAUUGCAUCAGGAAACUGCCUGCGAGUCGCUGCUGCAGGAUGUUUGCCUCCGCUGAUCUCCUUCCUUGUAGCUGUUUACUGUUUUGCUGUUGUUUUAGUUCUUUCUAUGUUGUUUCGUUCUGAACUAUCUUUCAGUUUGGGGAGUCAGGUUCUGUGAGCCGUGUAAUGUACGUACGUAGAUCUUAGCUCUCCAUCAAUUGUGUGAAGUGAAGAAUAAAAGGCCUUCGUCAGCCACAGCAUGAGAGACGCUAUGUUUUGUUAGGAAUAAUUUGUUCUGUGACUGUGAUAUCCUUGCAUACUCAAGUGUACAAAUAAUUUGUUCUAUGUAGACCGUACCAGUGAGUUUGCUGCAUCUACUAACGGCAGAGAAGGCGGCUGGCGUGGCGCUGGAUAUAGUUGGGGGGAGAUGAGGCAAUGAACUGAAUGUGUGGGAAGAGGAGGAACAUGUGUUGCCAUUUUAUACAAGUUUCAGCAUGCAAAAUAGUAACUGUUUCACACUGCAUUGUGGAAGAGGAAGAUGAGAGGAAGUACUCCAACACGCAUUAGAAUCGUGGUGCAUGCAGGGUGGGAAGAGGAGUAAGUGUUGUGGUGCAUGCAGAUUUAGUGGAGUGGUUUCCCACGGUGAAAGAGGAGUGGAUCAACUUUUGCAUGCAAACAUUGAUGGACUACUAGUGCCAAAUUGAAUACAAAUGUGCCUAGGGGGUGGAAGAUUUUGGGACAAAUAGUUUUUGGGAUUUUGCCUUGCGAACUGGGACGGAGGGAGUACUACUCUCUCCGAUCCUUUUACUUCACAUAUUAGAUUUGUGUCAAGUCAACUUUUGCAAAGUUUGACAAAAAAUAUAUUAAAAAU